This 496-nucleotide ribosomal RNA is filed under the name uncultured bacterium. RNAcentral describes it as "partial 16S ribosomal RNA". It matches the Rfam family "Bacterial small subunit ribosomal RNA", at positions 28 to 506 of the family's 1533-position model. The record is from RNAcentral.
GAUGAACGCUGGCGGCGUGCCUAAUACAUGCAAGUCGAGCGAACGGACGAGAAGCUUGCUUCUCUGAUGUUAGCGGCGGACGGGUGAGUAACACGUGGAUAACCUACCUAUAAGACUGGGAUAACUUCGGGAAACCGGAGCUAAUACCGGAUAAUAUUUUGAACCGCAUGGUUCAAAAGUGAAAGACGGUCUUGCUGUCACUUAUAGAUGGAUCCGCGCUGCAUUAGCUAGUUGGUAAGGUAACGGCUUACCAAGGCAACGAUGCAUAGCCGACCUGAGAGGGGUAUCGGCCACAAUGAAACCGAGACAGGGUCCAAACCCCUAAGGGGGGCAACGGAAGGGAAUUUUCCGAAAUGGGCGAAAGCGUGAAGGAGCAACGCCGCGUGAGUGAUGAAGUUCUGCGGAUCGUAAAACUCUGUUUUUAGGGAAAAAAAUUUUUGUAAGUAACUGUGCCAACUUUGGCGGGACCAAAUCAAAAACCCGCGGCAAACUACUU